UACGUAGGGGGCGAGCGUUAUCCGGAAUUACUGGGCGUAAAGCGCACGCAGGCGGUUCGCCAAGUUUGGAGUGACAGUUGUCGGCUCAACCGACAAAGGACUUCAAAAACUGGUGAACUUGAGGACGAGAGAGGAACAUGGAACUCCAGGUGUAGUAGUGAAAUGCGUAGAUAUCUGGAAGAACACCAAUGGCGAAGGCAGCCCCCUGGGUCAAAACUGACGCUCAUGCACGAAAGCGUGGGGAGCAAACAGG
RNAcentral lists this ribosomal RNA (253 nucleotides) under uncultured bacterium. RNAcentral's name for it is "partial 16S ribosomal RNA". It matches the Rfam family "Bacterial small subunit ribosomal RNA", at positions 524 to 776 of the family's 1533-position model. The record is from RNAcentral.